Molecule: ribosomal RNA, 443 nt
Filed under: uncultured bacterium
Lineage: Bacteria
Description: partial 16S ribosomal RNA
Rfam family: Bacterial small subunit ribosomal RNA
Source: RNAcentral
CCUACGGGAGGCAGCAGUGGGGGAUAUUGGACAAUGGGGGAAACCCUGAUCCAGCGACGCCGCGUGAGUGAAGAAGUAUUUCGGUAUGUAAAGCUCUAUCAGCAGGGAAGAAAGAAAUGACGGUACCUGAGUAAGAAGCCCCGGCUAACUACGUGCCAGCAGCCGCGGUAAUACGUAGGGGGCAAGCGUUAUCCGGAUUUACUGGGUGUAAAGGGAGCGUAGACGGUGAUGCAAGUCAGAAGUGAAAGCCCGGGGCUCAACUCCGGGACUGCUUUUGAAACUGUGUGACUGGAGUGCAGGAGAGGUAAGCGGAAUUCCUGGUGUAGCGGUGAAAUGCGUAGAUAUCAGGAGGAACACCAGUGGCGAAGGCGGCUUACUGGACUGUAACUGACGUUGAGGCUCGAAAGCGUGGGGAGCAAACAGGAUUAGAUACCCUAGUAGUC